This is a non-coding RNA of Salmo salar (Atlantic salmon), 54 nucleotides long. The record is from Rfam. NCBI's taxonomy places the organism in Eukaryota, Metazoa, Chordata, Actinopteri, Salmoniformes, Salmonidae.
AGUCACUACUACUGUAAGUCGCUCUGGAUAACAGCAUCUGCUAAAUGACUCAAA